RNAcentral lists this ribosomal RNA (506 nucleotides) under uncultured bacterium. RNAcentral's name for it is "partial 16S ribosomal RNA". It matches the Rfam family "Bacterial small subunit ribosomal RNA", at positions 28 to 523 of the family's 1533-position model. The record is from RNAcentral.
GAUGAACGCUAGCUACAGGCUUAACACAUGCAAGUCGCGGGGCAGCAUGUCGGUUGCUUGCAACCGAUGAUGGCGACCGGCGCACGGGUGAGUAACGCGUAUCCAACCUGCCCUUCACCACGGAAUAAUCCAGUGAAAAUUGGUCUAAUACCGUAUGAGGUCAUACGAUGGCAUCAGAAUAUGACGAAAGGUUUGGCGGUGACGGAUGGGGGUGCGUCUGAUUAGUUUGUUGGGGAGGUAACGGCUCACAAAGGCGACGAUCGAUAGGGGGUCUGAGAGGAAGGUCCCCCACAUUGGAACUGAGACACGGUCCAAACGCCUACGGGAGGCAGCAGUGAGGAAUAUUGGUCAAUGGGCGAGAGCCUGAACCAGCCAAGUAGCGUGCAGGAAGACGGCCCUAUGGGUUGUAAACUGCUUUUAUAUGGGGAUAAAGUGAGCUACGUGUAGUUUAUUGCAGGUACCAUAUGAAUAAGGACCGGCUAAUUCCGUGCCAGCCGCCGCAGUAA